AACGCAACUUGCGCCUUUCACGAGGCAUGUUUGUUUGAGUGCCGUAAUCCUCUGCAGCAAUGCGAUUUGGCUCUUGUCUUUGUUGACUGAGUUUAAAGGAAGCUAGAGGAUGGUCAGUUUAGACUAGUCCGAGUGCUAAGCAUUCUUGGGUCUAGAACUGGAUUGGUCAUUUUAUUUAUUUUUUAUUUUGGCCUCAAAUCAAGCAAGACUACCCGCUGAACUUAA
Molecule: unclassified non-coding RNA, 225 nt
Filed under: uncultured fungus
Lineage: Eukaryota; Fungi
Description: sequence contains ITS2
Source: RNAcentral